CUUCGAGUUCAGCUGGGGAGAAGGAGCAACCUCAUUAUCAUUACCCUUAUCAGAGCAUGCAGCGUCCUCCAUUGCCACCGAAUGGGCAGUUUCAUCAGCCGCAUUAUCCGCCGCCUCCAUAUGGAUAUAUGCUACCGCCUCAGCAGCAAUACCAACACCAUUAUGGACCUCCAAGGCCUGCAGCUCCGGAGUCAAGUUCAGCACCGCCAGCUCCCCAGUGAAAUUGGUGAAAAGUAGGAUGUGUCUCUUUGCCAGUCUUGUCGGCAUUUUAUCGAUGAAUAGUUGCCUUGUCAUUUCAUUGCUCUAAGAACCUGUCAAGUUGCGUUACUACGCCGCACUGUUUAUGGCUGGCCUUCACUUAAUUAGUUAUAAUUACUCUUGUGGGCGUGUUACUUAAAAACUCUUUCAGAAGUGCCAUGGGCGAAGAUUAAACCUAAAAUAUGGCCACAAAUUAAUGAUAAGGCUACCGGCACUGCGACGACUACGAUUGAGAAAUCGGGAAUCAAGAUCGUUAGAAACCCUCCCGAAUCCAAAC
RNAcentral lists this long non-coding RNA (535 nucleotides) under Linum usitatissimum (flax). RNAcentral's name for it is "long non-coding RNA (LUSI_LNC001819)". The record is from RNAcentral. Lineage: Eukaryota; Viridiplantae; Streptophyta; Magnoliopsida; Malpighiales; Linaceae.